CUUGCUCUCUGGGUGACGAGCGGCGGACGGGUGAGUAAUGUCUGGGAAACUGCCUGAUGGAGGGGGAUAACUACUGGAAACGGUAGCUAAUACCGCAUAACGUCUUCGGACCAAAGUGGGGGACCUUCGGGCCUCACGCCAUCAGAUGUGCCCAGAUGGGAUUAGCUAGUAGGUGGGGUAAUGGCUCACCUAGGCGACGAUCCCUAGCUGGUCUGAGAGGAUGACCAGCCACACUGGAACUGAGACACGGUCCAGACUCCUACGGGAGGCAGCAGUGGGGAAUAUUGCACAAUGGGCGCAAGCCUGAUGCAGCCAUGCCGCGUGUGUGAAGAAGGCCUUCGGGUUGUAAAGCACUUUCAGCGAGGAGGAAGGGUGGUGUGUUAAUAGCGCAUCACAUUGACGUUACUCGCAGAAGAAGCACCGGCUAACUCCGUGCCAGCAGCCGCGGUAAUACGGAGGGUGCAAGCGUUAAUCGGAAUUACUGGGCGUAAAGCGCACGCAGGCGGUUUGUUAAGUCAGAUGUGAAAUCCCCGCGCUUAACGUGGGAACUGCAUUUGAAACUGGCAAGCUAGAGUCUUGUAGAGGGGGGUAGAAUUCCAGGUGUAGCGGUGAAAUGCGUAGAGAUCUGGAGGA
This 633-nucleotide ribosomal RNA is filed under the name uncultured bacterium. RNAcentral describes it as "bacterial SSU rRNA". It matches the Rfam family "Bacterial small subunit ribosomal RNA", at positions 75 to 705 of the family's 1533-position model. The record is from RNAcentral.